CCUACGGGAGGCAGCAGUAAGGAAUAUUGGUCAAUGGAGGCAACUCUGAACCAGCCAUGCCGCGUGCAGGAUGAAGGCCCUAUGGGUCGUAAACUGCUUUUACACAAGAGAAAACCCCGGUACGUGUACCGGGUUGAUAGUAUUGUGAGAAUAAGCAUCGGCUAACUUCGUGCCAGCAGCCGCGGUAAGACGAAGGAUGCAAGCGUUAUCCGGAUUCAUUGGGUUUAAAGGGUGCGUAGGCGGACUUGUAAGUCAGUGGUGAAAUCUCUUUGCUUAACAAGAAACUGCCAUUGAUACUGCAGGUCUAGAGUAUAGAUGACGUUGGCGGAAUAUGACAUGUAGUGGUGAAAUACUUAGAUAUGUCAUAGAACACCGAUUGCGAAGGCAGCUAACGAAACUAUAACUGACGCUGGGGCACGAAAGUGCGGGGAUCAAACAGGAUUAGAUACCCUGGUAGUCCGCACCGUAAACGANANAUACUCGUGUCGCAUAUGACGUCAGCGACCGAACGACGAACGACGAGUAAGUAAUACCACCGUCGGGAGGUACGGACCGGCCGACCGGUACGGAACGUACGAACGUAAGUAAGUUAGUACGGACCGGACGGACGUUACGCCGACGGACGACGACGAGGGAGGAGG
This 641-nucleotide ribosomal RNA is filed under the name uncultured bacterium. RNAcentral's name for it is "bacterial SSU rRNA". The stretch from base 1 to 537 matches the Rfam family "Bacterial small subunit ribosomal RNA", at positions 338 to 873 of the family's 1533-position model. The record is from RNAcentral.